This 500-nucleotide ribosomal RNA is filed under the name uncultured bacterium. RNAcentral's name for it is "partial 16S ribosomal RNA". It matches the Rfam family "Bacterial small subunit ribosomal RNA", at positions 28 to 507 of the family's 1533-position model. The record is from RNAcentral.
GACGAACGCUGGCGGCGUGCUUAACACAUGCCAGUCGAACGGGUCUGCCCUGUUUUUUGCGGGGUGGGUCAGUGGCGAACGGGUGAGUAACACGUGAGUAACCUGCCCCUCACUUCUGGAUAACCGCUUGAAAGGGUGGCUAAUACGGGGUGUUCUGGCUGUGCCGCAUGGUGUGGCUGGGAAAGAUUCACUUUUGUGGUGUUUUGGUGGGGGAUGGGCUCGCGGCCUAUCAGCUUGUUGGUGGGGUGAUGGCCUGCCAAGGCUUUGACGGGUGGCCGGGCUGAGAGGGUGGGCGGUCACACUGGGACUGAGAUACGGCCCAGACUCCUGCGGGAGGCAGCAGUGGGGGGUAUUGCACAAUGGGCGGAAGCCUGAUGCAGCGACGUCGCGUGAGGGAUGGAGGCCUUCGGGUUGUGAACCUCUUUCGCCGGUGAAGAAGGUCCUGCUCUUUGUGGUGGGGUUGACGGUAGCCGGGUUAUGAAGCGCCGGCUAACUACGUG